This 540-nucleotide ribosomal RNA is filed under the name Kodamaea ohmeri. RNAcentral's name for it is "eukaryotic LSU rRNA". It matches the Rfam family "Eukaryotic large subunit ribosomal RNA", at positions 35 to 664 of the family's 3401-position model. The record is from RNAcentral. Lineage: Eukaryota; Fungi; Ascomycota; Pichiomycetes; Serinales; Debaryomycetaceae.
UUGCAUAUUCCAAAAGCGGAGGAAAAGAAACCAACAGGGAUUGCCUCAGUAACGGCGAGUGAAGCGGCAAAAGCUCAAAUUUGAAAUCCCCCCGGGGAGUUGUAAUUUGAAGAUUGCGUCUUGGAGGCGACCGUGUCUAUGUUCCUUGGAACAGGACGUCACAGAGGGUGAGAAUCCCGUGCGGCACGGCCCCCGGCUCCUUAUAAGGCGCUCUCGACGAGUCGAGUUGUUUGGGAAUGCAGCUCAAAGUGGGUGGUAAAUUCCAUCUAAAGCUAAAUACAGGCGAGAGACCGAUAGCGAACAAGUACAGUGAUGGAAAGAUGAAAAGCACUUUGAAAAGAGAGUGAAACAGCACGUGAAAUUGUUGAAAGGGAAGGGCAUGCCGUCAGAUUGUCAGUGUGGGUAAGAAGCGGGGUACAAAGACUGUGGAACGUGGCCCUCGGGUGUUAUAGCCGCAGUUCAUGCCCCGUCUCUUUCCGAGGCCUGCUUUGAGGACACCGACGUAAUGACGGUACGCCGCCCGUCUUGAAACACGGACAC